RNAcentral lists this ribosomal RNA (301 nucleotides) under uncultured bacterium. RNAcentral's name for it is "partial 16S ribosomal RNA". It matches the Rfam family "Bacterial small subunit ribosomal RNA", at positions 509 to 807 of the family's 1533-position model. The record is from RNAcentral.
CAGUCGCCACGGUAAUACGUAGGUGGCAAGCGUUGUCCGGAAUUAUUGGGCGUAAAGCGCGCGCAGGUGGUUUAAUAAGUCUGAUGUGAAAGCCCCCGGCUUAACCGGGGAGGGUCAUUGGAAACUGGGGAACUUGAGUGCAGAAGAGGAGAGUGGAAUUCCAUGUGUAGCGGUGAAAUGUGUAGAUAUAUGGAGGGACACCAGUGGCGAAGGCGACUCUCUGGUCUGUAACUGACGCUGAGGCUCGAAGGCGUGGGUAGCAAACAGGAUUAGAUACCCCGGUAGUCCCUGUCUCUUAUAC